UACGGGGGGGGCAAGCGUUGUUCGGAAUUACUGGGCGUAAAGGGCGCGUAGGCGGUGCUCUAAGUCGGAUGUGAAAACUCUGGGCUCAACCCAGAGCCUGCAUCCGAAACUGGAGUGCUAGAGUUCUGGAGGGGGUAGCGGAAUUCCUGGUGUAGCGGUGAAAUGCGCAGAUAUCAGGAGGAACACCGAUGGCGAAGGCAGCUCGCUGGGACGGUACUGACGCUGAGGCGCGAAAGCGUGGGGAGCAAACAGG
This 253-nucleotide ribosomal RNA is filed under the name uncultured bacterium. RNAcentral describes it as "partial 16S ribosomal RNA". It matches the Rfam family "Bacterial small subunit ribosomal RNA", at positions 524 to 776 of the family's 1533-position model. The record is from RNAcentral.